UGGCGUGAACCCGGGAGGCGGAGCUUGCAGUGAGCCGUGGUUCUGAGGUUGUGCCACUGCACUCCAGCCUGGGCAACAGAGCAAGACUCCGUCUAAAAAAAAAGAAGGAGCCAACUCUGAAAUGCUGGAGGGAAAGUGAAUGUGUGAGACUUACUGAGAGAUGGUGUGUUUAUAAACAAUCGUGUUUACAAAAGCACAUAUUUCUGAGUGACUGGAGGGAUUUUCAAGGCUUAUUUGACCACAUGUGUGAUUGUUACUUUACAGGUUGAGUUUAGAACCUAACCUCAGCCUUACAGGCAGUAGGUAGCCUUGAACAAAUGUUUAGCCAGUAGUGGUAUCUUGCAGUUUUUCCUUUAUUUAAUGAAUUUGCUAAGAUAUAUCUGGCUAUAUGCUUAAAGAUUUUGCAAAAUAUUUUUUUAAAUUAUUUUGAAAUUCUUUAAAAAGAUUUGUUUAUUAAUAUUCUUUAUAGAAUACAGAGUUUUCUUCAUUGGAACAGAGGAAAUGUAAUAACUUCAUUUAUUGCUAGGGCUGUUAUUGAUUCUAAACAAUUCUAUGAUAGGCUUCUGCAAGGAAUUUCAAUCUUAUUUAUGAUUAAAGUACAUACUAAUGAACACAGUAGCAUUAUUAAUAACCAUUUUCUUUGGUUAUUCAAUUCAGGCUUUGUUUUGUGAAUCCCCCUACACACACACACACACACACACACACACACACACACACACACAUCGCUGUUGUAUAAGACGGUGGGUAUGUAGUGGGCAUUUCUCUAAUGUGCUUAAAUAAGACAGGGUUUUCUCAUACUGACUCUUACUGUUCUAGCCAAGGAGACUCUGUUUGAAGCAAGAAGGCAGGGGUACUGGAAACUGAUUUCUUGUGUCCUUGCUUUUUUCUUGUGAAGAGUCUAAAUUAGUCUAUUUAUCAUUUGAUAUUUUGAAUUCCAGAGAAACUUAGAUAACUGAAGGGAAUACCUCAGCAGAGUGUAGGCUUCUCUAUUUUGUUCUUAUUAAAUUAUCAAAGAAGGAAAUGAAUAUGAAUUAUUUAAAAUAAUCGUCCUUGGAGGUCUUGGGUACUGAGUCAUUUGAAUGGACUGGUAAGGAGGUGGCCCAUUUUGUUUGUUGAUUUCACCUUCCUGAGAGUGGCUGGCACAGACAGAGGAGAUAUUUUUCUGCUCAGACCUAACCCGAUUUCAUUAUCUUUCUGCAUUCACCGCCUGAUUUUAUUCUGUAAAGUAUGAACACCGGUCUGACUUCUCUAUAUCUUACCUUGUCAUUUAAGCAUAUGAAUUGUAUUAUGUAACAUAAAGGGGAAAAUAUGAAAACCAGUUCCUCUCAGUAAACCUUUUAAAACAUUAUUUAAAAGCCCAGCCUCCUACAAUUUCCAAAGUUCCUGGUAAUUUUUUUCAGUGGAGUUUUCAGUUUACUGAUUUUUUUUUUCACUCAGAAGGGGCUGUGAAGUCAACAAUUUUAAGGCAGUGUGGUUUAAGUGUUUUAAGUUCUGUUUCUGUUAAAUGUAUUCUAUUCAUGUUUACAAAGCAACAGAAGAAAGCUUAGAGAAUUAAGUACACAUAAAUUUAAUCACACAAGCUUGAGUAGCUAGAUUAACUUCAAAACGAUCAGUAAAUAAUAUUUUAAACUUCUACUGACCUUAUUAAAAUACACUUCCAGAAACAUUCUGUUUGAACUAUUCUUGUAAAUUAGUCAUCUUGCAAAACAGCUGUGACAAUAUGAUAUAAUGAAGAGAGCAGUGAUUUAGCAAUGAGAAGGCUGGGAGUCCUUGUCUUGGCUCAUUCACAGGGAGAUCACAUGACAUGCCAAAGUCCCCUAGAUGAGGAAGCCAUGCAUUGAGAGGAUUGAGGAUUGGGUCAAUGAUCUAUCAUAGAAUACUUUCUAUGAGUCUGUGCUUAAACUUAGAAACCUCACAAAGAACACACUGGGGAAUUUGGUGCAAGCAGGAGCUUCACCUCAUGCAGAAUUGCAGUGUGAUUUUAGAGUGCUGUUACCAUUCUUAUGCUUAGAAGGCAGAGUGUCUUCAGUUAGGAUUCUGUCGUGUUUAAUGGAUCCCACUCUCGUUGGCUUAGGCAGAAAGGUGUUAAAUGGUUUGCAGAAUUGUUGGGAAGGCUAAGCUUCCAGGAGCAGCUCCCAAAGUCUCCACACACAACUGGACCACCAGGGAACCUGCUCCCUCCACCAGGACAGGACUUGGAAACCUGCCACCGCAAUUACCAGCACCAGAAGGAUCUUGUCUCUGCUAAGUCUCUGUCGACAUAGUGAAUACCCUGUGCCCUGCCUCUCUCUCCCUGACUCAGGUCCCAUUCCAGGUCUUGCCCAAGUCUUUCUGAUUGGUGGGACUUAAAUCACACCCAAAAUUCCAGCUGCAGGAGAGCUCUGAGAUUUCAUCUUUCCAACCUCUGUGUGCUACGUGGGGGUUGGAGCACUUGCUGACAAGCCUUGCAACCACCAUUGACAGUAAGUGAGAUAUUUAUGAUCAAUAACAUUUGCAUUUUUCACAAUUUACAGUAUAGCUGUACAUUUUAUUUAGAGCUAGUAUCAAGUCACUCUACAGAUAACAAUAUUAUUUCUGACCAUUUUGGAAGAAAACAGCUUUUUGGAUGUCCUCCACCUUUUCAAUC
This 2626-nucleotide long non-coding RNA is filed under the name Homo sapiens (human). RNAcentral describes it as "non-protein coding CCDC144NL-AS1:23". Lineage: Eukaryota; Metazoa; Chordata; Mammalia; Primates; Hominidae. The record is from RNAcentral.